UCCCUGGUGGUCCAGUGGUUAAGACUCUGCACUUGCAAUGCAGGGGGCCCGGGUUGGAUCCCUGGUCGGGGAA
Molecule: transfer RNA, 73 nt
Filed under: Balaenoptera acutorostrata scammoni
Lineage: Eukaryota; Metazoa; Chordata; Mammalia; Artiodactyla; Balaenopteridae
Description: tRNA-Ala (TGC) (tRNA-Ala-TGC-18-1)
Rfam family: tRNA
About the family: Transfer RNA (tRNA) molecules are approximately 80 nucleotides in length.
Source: RNAcentral